This 241-nucleotide long non-coding RNA is filed under the name Elaeis guineensis (African oil palm). RNAcentral's name for it is "long non-coding RNA (EGUI_LNC044774)". Lineage: Eukaryota; Viridiplantae; Streptophyta; Magnoliopsida; Arecales; Arecaceae. The record is from RNAcentral.
AUGGGAGAAGGUGGGACACCUAAAUGGAUAAGAUCUAGGCGUGCGCCACCUUGUGGAUAGGAUGAGAGGAUAAGGCUUUAUCCUAUUUGAAUUUGAUUUUAAGUUUGAAGAGUUCAAAUUUGAGAUGAGGAUAAAGCACCAUUUAAAUUUAAACAAAACUUAUCCACUUGUGGAUGAGGAUAAAGGUUAUCACCCUAUUUAAAUUCAAGUUUAAAUUUGAAGAGUUCAAAUUUAAAUGAGG